GAUGAACGCUGGCGGCGUGCCUAAUACAUGCAAGUCGAGCGAACAGAUGAGGAGCUUGCUCCUCUGACGUUAGCGGCGGACGGGUGAGUAACACGUGGAUAACCUACCUAUAAGACUGGGAUAACUUCGCGAAACCGGAGCUAAUACCGGAUAAUAUAUUGAACCGCAUGGUUCAAUAGUGAAAGACGGUUUUGCUGUCACUUAUAGAUGGAUCCGCGCCGCAUUAGCUAGUUGGUAAGGUAACGGCUUACCAAGGCAACGAUGCGUAGCCGACCUGAGAGGGUGAUCGGCCACACUGGAACUGAGACACGGUCCAGACUCCUACGGGAGGCAGCAGUAGGGAAUCUUCCGCAAUGGGCGAAAGCCUGACGGAGCAACGCCGCGUGAGUGAUGAAGGUCUUCGGAUCGUAAAACUCUGUUAUUAGGGAAGAACAAAUGUGUAAGUAACUAUGCACGUCUUGACGGUACCUAAUCAGAGAGCCACGGCUAACUACGUG
This 497-nucleotide ribosomal RNA is filed under the name uncultured bacterium. RNAcentral's name for it is "partial 16S ribosomal RNA". It matches the Rfam family "Bacterial small subunit ribosomal RNA", at positions 28 to 507 of the family's 1533-position model. The record is from RNAcentral.